Molecule: ribosomal RNA, 273 nt
Filed under: uncultured bacterium
Lineage: Bacteria
Description: partial 16S ribosomal RNA
Rfam family: Bacterial small subunit ribosomal RNA
Source: RNAcentral
UACGAAGGUCCCAAGCGUUAUUCGGAAUCACUGGGCGUAAAGAGUACGUAGGCGGUUUGGUAAGUCAGGUGUGAAAUCCCGGAGCUCAACUCCGGAACUGCAUCCGAUACUGCCAGACUUGAGUAAUGGAGAGGCAGGUGGAACUCUCGGUGUAGCAGUGAAAUGCGUGGAUAUCGAGAGGAAGACCAAUGGCGAAGGCAGCCUGCUGGACAUUUACUGACGCUGAGGUACGAAGGCUAGGGGAGCGAAAGGGAUUAGAAACACGAGUAGUCC